This 484-nucleotide ribosomal RNA is filed under the name uncultured bacterium. RNAcentral describes it as "partial 16S ribosomal RNA". It matches the Rfam family "Bacterial small subunit ribosomal RNA", at positions 30 to 507 of the family's 1533-position model. The record is from RNAcentral.
AUUGAACACUGGCGGCAGGCCUAACACAUGCAAGUCGAGCGGAUGAAGGGAGCUUGCUCCUGGAUUCAGCGGCGGACGGGUGAGUAAUGCCUAGGAAUCUGCCUGGUAGUGGGGGAUAACGUCCGGAAACGGGCGCUAAUACCGCAUACGUCCUGAGGGAGAAAGUGGGGGAUCUUCGGACCUCACGCUAUCAGAUGAGCCUAGGUCGGAUUAGCUAGUUGGUGGGGUAAAGGCCUACCAAGGCGACGAUCCGUAACUGGUCGGAGAGGAUGAUCAGUCACAUUGGAACUGAGACACGGUCCAGACUCCUACGGGAGGCAGCAGUGGGGAAUAUUGGACAAUGGGCGAAAGUCUGAUCCAGCCAUGCCGCGUGUGUGAAGAAGGUCUUCGGAUUGGAAAGCCCUUUUAGUUGGUAUGAAGGGCAGUAAGUUAAUACCUUGCGGUUUUGACGUUACCAACAGAAUAAGCACCGGCUAACUUCGUG